Paramuricea clavata is the source of this 74-nucleotide non-coding RNA. NCBI's taxonomy places the organism in Eukaryota, Metazoa, Cnidaria, Anthozoa, Malacalcyonacea, Plexauridae. The record is from the annotation of a GenBank genome assembly.
GCCUCAUUAGCUCAGGGGUAGAACAGUAGUUCGUAAACUAAAGGUCGUCGUGAGUUCGAAUCUCUCAUGAGGCU